GCUCAGAUUGAACGUUGGCGGCAGGCUUAACACAUGCAAGUCGAGCGGAGUGAUGGUGCUUGCACUAUCACUUAGCGGCGGACGGGUGAGUAAUGCUUAGGAAUCUGCCUAUUAGUGGGGGACAACAUUUGGAAAGGAAUGCUAAUACCGCAUACGUCNUACGGGAGAAAGCAGGGGAUNUUCGGCCCUUGCGCUAAUAGAUGAGCGUAAGUCGGAUUAGAUAGUUGGUGGGGUAAAGGCCUUCCAAGGGGACGAUCUGUAGCGGGUNUGAGAGGAUGAUCCGCCACACUGGGAGUGAGACNCGGCCCAGACUCCUACGGGAGGCAGCANUNGGGAAUAUUGGACAAUGGGNGCAAGCCUGAUCCAGCCAUGCCGCGUGUGUGAAGAAGGCCUUAUGGUUGUAAAGCACUUUAAGCGAGGAGGAGGNUACUGAAGUUAAUACCUUCAGAUAGUGGACGUUACUCGCAGAAUAAGCACCGGCUAACUCUGUGCCAGCAGCCGCGGUAAUACAGAGGGUGCAAGCGUUAAUCGGAUUUACUGGGCGUAAAGCGCGCGUAGGCGGCUAAUUAAGUCAAAUGUGAAAUCCCCGAGCUUAACUUGGGAAUUGNNNUCGAAACUGGUUAGCUAGAGUGCNGGAGAGGAGGGUAGAAUNCCAGGUGUAGCGGUGAAAUNCNUUGAGUUNNGGAGGAACNCCC
This 695-nucleotide ribosomal RNA is filed under the name Acinetobacter calcoaceticus. RNAcentral describes it as "partial 16S ribosomal RNA". It matches the Rfam family "Bacterial small subunit ribosomal RNA", at positions 22 to 711 of the family's 1533-position model. The record is from RNAcentral. Lineage: Bacteria; Pseudomonadati; Pseudomonadota; Gammaproteobacteria; Moraxellales; Moraxellaceae.